This 493-nucleotide ribosomal RNA is filed under the name uncultured bacterium. Its description in RNAcentral is "bacterial SSU rRNA". It matches the Rfam family "Bacterial small subunit ribosomal RNA", at positions 1 to 518 of the family's 1533-position model. The record is from RNAcentral.
GUGUCGUCGUCGACGUACGUCUACGAGAGUAGUAGCUAUGGCUCAGAACGAACGCUGGCGGCAGGCCUAAGUCAUGCAAGUUGAACGGCUGUAGCAAUACAGCAGUAGCGGACGGGUGAGUAAUGUAUGGGAACGUAUCUUCUAGUGGGGAAUAUCUUUGGAAACGAAGAGCAAUACCGCAUGAGUCCUACGGGAGAAAGUCGCAAGACGCUAGAUGAGCGGCCCAUAUUGGAUUAGCUAGUUGGUUAGGUAAUGGCUGACCAAGGCAACGAUCCAUAGCUGGUCUAAGAGGACGAUCAGCCACAUUGGGACUGAGACACGGCCCAGACUCCUACGGGAGGCAGCAGUCAGGAAUAUUGGACAAUGGGGGCAACCCUGAUCCAAGCCAUGCCGCGUGAGUGUUAAGGUCUUCGGAUUGUAAAGCUCUUUUGUGUGGGAAAAUGAUGAUGGUACCACAAGAAUAAGCACCGGCUAACUUCGUGCCAGCCGCGGC